UGACCCUAGGUCAAGCAGGAUUACCCGCUGAGUUUAAGCAUUUCAAUAAGUGGAGGAAAAGAAACUUACCAGGAAUCCCCUAGUAACGACAAACAAAUCGGGAAAAGGCCAGCUUGAGAAUUAGGCGCCAUAGGUGUCUGAAUUAUAGUCUGGAGAAGCGUCCUCUGUGGCAGACUGGGCCCAAGUCCCUUGGAAAGAGGCGCCGGAGAGGGUGAGAGCCCCGUUGUGCCCUGACACUGUCGCACCAUGAGGCGUUGUCUACGAGUUAGGUUGUUUGGGAAUGUAGCCCUAAUCAGGCGGUAAAUUCUGUCCAAGGCUAAAUAUGCUAAGGAGUGUGUAACAACUCACCUAUCGAAUCAACUAGCACCCAAAAAUGGAUGGCGCUUAAGCGCACGACUUAUACCUAGCCGUCAGGGCAAGGGCCAGGCCCUGAUGAGUUAGAGGGCGCAGCGGUCGCCGUAAAACCCUGGGCGUGAUCCCAGACAUAGCGGCCGUUGGUGCAGAUCUUGGUGCUAGUAGAAAAUAUUCAAAUGAGAACUUUGAAGGCCGAAAAGGAGAAAGGUUCCAUGUGAACGGCACUUGCACAUGGGUUAGUCGAUCCUAAGAGAAAGGGGGAAGCCCGUUCGAUAGUGUGCUCAGUACGAGCUUCGAAAGGGAAUUGGGUUAAAAUUUUUAAACCAGGACGCGACAGCUGACGGCAACAUUAGAGAGUCCGAAGAUGUCAGCGGGGGCCUCAGGAAUAGUUAUAUUUUCUGUUUAACGGGCUGCUUACCUUGGAAACGGUUCAGUCGGAGGUAAGGUCCAGUGGUCGAAAGAGCACCACACGUUGCGUGGUGUCCGGUGUACCCUCGGUGGCCCUUCAAAAUCCAGAGGGCCGAGUGCCAUCUGUACUCGGUCGUACUCAUAACUGCAUCAGGUCUCCAAGGUGAAUAACCUCUGGUCAAUGGAACAAUGUAGGCAAGGGAAGUCGGCAAAAUGGAUCUGUAACCUCGGGAAAAGGAUUGGCCCUGAGGGCUGGGCACAGGGCUCCCAGUCCCGAACCUGUCAGCUACUGGUGUACUACUCGAGCUACUCCCGCGGUGAGAGUGGGUCACUGCGUGUCGGCCGGGGGACGGACUGGGAUUGGCUCCCUCGGGGGCCUUCCCCGAGUGACGAACAGUUGACUCAGAACUAGAACGGACAAGGGGAAUUUGACUGUUUAAUUAAAACAAAGCAUUGCGACGGUCCCUGUGAUGCUCACGCAAUGUAAUUUCUACCCAGUGCUCUGAAUGUAAAAGUGAAGAAAUUCAACCAAGCGCGGGUAAACAGUGGGAGUAACUAUGUCUCUCUUAAGGUAGCCAAAUGCCUUGUCAUAUAAUUAGUGAUGCGCAUGAAUGGAUUAAUGAGAUUCUCACUAUCCCUGUCUACUAUCCAGUGAAACCAAAACCAAGGGAACGGGCUUGGCAGAAUCAGUGGGGAAAGAAGACCCUGUUGAGGUUGACUGUAGUCCAACUUUUUAGAAAUAACUUGAGAAGUGUAGGAUAAGUAGGAGCUCUCGAGCGAAAUUGAAAUACCACUACAUUUAAACGUUAUUUCACUUAUUCCGUAAAUCAGAAAUGGGGCACAACCCCUCUUUUUAGACCCAAGGUUGGCUACGAUCGGCCGAUCCAGGAGGAAGACAUUGUCAGGUGGGGAGUUUGGCUGAAGUGGUACAUCUGUUAAAAGAUAACGCAGGUGUCCUAAGAUGAGCUCAAUGAGAACAAAAAUUUCGUGUGAAACAAAAGGGUAAAAGCUCAUGUGAUUCUGAUUUCCAGUACGAAUACAAACUGUGAAGCGUGGCUUAUCGAUCCUUUAGACCUUCAAAAUUUGAAGCUAGAGGUGUCAGAAAAGUUACCACAGGGAUAACUGGCUUGUGGCAGCCAAGUGUUCAUAGGCAGAAUUCACCAAGUGUUGGAUUGUUCACCCACCAAUAGGGAACAUGAGCUGGGUUUAGACUGUCUUGAGAUAGGUUAGUUUUACCUUACUGAUGGCCGCGUCAAAAUAGUAAUUCAACCUAGUAUGAGAGAAAUCGUUGAUUCGUACAAUUGGUCAUCGUGAUUGGUUGAAAAGCCAGUGGCACGAAGUUACCGUGCACUGGAUUAUGACUGAACGCCUCUAAGUCAGAAUUUGGGCUAGAAGAGAUGCACGCGCCUGUCGCCCGAUUGCCGACUUGCAAUAGGGGCCUUUGGCCCCCACGGGCACGUGUCGUAGGUGCAGCGACUGCGGCAGACAAGUCAUGGGCGCCUCCUCGGAGCGUAAUUCCCAUCGAGCAGUGGGUGGAAUCCUUUGUAGAUGAUUAAAUAUGCAACGGGUAUUGUAAGUGGCAGAGUGGCCUUGCCACAAAUAUCCACUGAGAUUCAACCCUUUGUCGCUUCGAUUCAU
This 2400-nucleotide ribosomal RNA is filed under the name Gossypium arboreum. RNAcentral's name for it is "Eukaryotic large subunit ribosomal RNA". It matches the Rfam family "Eukaryotic large subunit ribosomal RNA". Lineage: Eukaryota; Viridiplantae; Streptophyta; Magnoliopsida; Malvales; Malvaceae. The record is from Rfam by way of RNAcentral.